This 427-nucleotide ribosomal RNA is filed under the name uncultured bacterium. Its description in RNAcentral is "partial 16S ribosomal RNA". It matches the Rfam family "Bacterial small subunit ribosomal RNA", at positions 355 to 774 of the family's 1533-position model. The record is from RNAcentral.
UGGGGAAUAUUGCACAAUGGGCGCAAGCCUGAUGCAGCCAUGCCGCGUGUAUGAAGAAGGCCUUCGGGUUGUAAAGUACUUUCAGCGAGGAGGAAGGCGUUGUGGUUAAUAACCGCAGCGAUUGACGUUACUCGCAGAAGAAGCACCGGCUAACUCCGUGCCAGCAGCCGCGGUAAUGCGGAGGGUGCAAGCGUUAAUCGGAAUUACUGGGUGUAAAGCGCACGCAGGCGGUCUGUCAAGUCGGAUGUGAAAUCCCCGGGCUCAACCUGGGAACUGCAUCCGAAACUGGCAGGCUAGAGUCUUGUAGAGGGGGGUAGAAUUCCAGGUGUAGCGGUGAAAUGCGUAGAGAUCUGGAGGAAUACCGGUGGCGAAGGCGGCCCCCUGGACAAAGACUGACGCUCAGGUGCGAAAGCGUGGGGAGCAAACA